RNAcentral lists this ribosomal RNA (253 nucleotides) under uncultured bacterium. RNAcentral's name for it is "partial 16S ribosomal RNA". It matches the Rfam family "Bacterial small subunit ribosomal RNA", at positions 524 to 776 of the family's 1533-position model. The record is from RNAcentral.
GACGAACCGAGCGAACGUUGUUCGGAAUCACUGGGCUUAAAGGGCGCGUAGGCGGGUGCUCAAGUCUGUGGUGAAAUCCUCCGGCUCAACCGGAGAACUGCCAUGGAUACUGGGCGUCUCGAGUGUGGUAGGGGUAUGCGGAACUAUCGGUGGAGCGGUGAAAUGCGUUGAUAUCGAUAGGAACUCCGGUGGCGAAGGCGGCAUACUGGACCACUACUGACGCUGAUGCGCGAAAGCCAGGGGAGCAAACGGG